CUCUCUUCCUCCCUCCCACGCGGCAUUCUCUGUGUUAGCUAGGAGGAAGUGACUGCACUUCCUCCUAGCACUGACCUCAUCACUGGGGGCCCGGUCGCACUGUUAAUCGCCGCAGUGCUGACCGGGCCCCUGCAGAUUCAUUGCCAUCGGGUGGCCCUAAGAGCAUGGGCCACCCGAUGGGGCCCCUCAUCGUGCGGCCCGCAGUGGUCU
Pelobates cultripes (western spadefoot toad) is the source of this 210-nucleotide non-coding RNA. NCBI's taxonomy places the organism in Eukaryota, Metazoa, Chordata, Amphibia, Anura, Pelobatidae. The record is from the annotation of a GenBank genome assembly.